AAGGGGCGGACUCUAAUCUUAUACAAUUUUGAGCUAAAAAAUUUAAAAAUCUUGUUAGGUUGUGAAAAGGCCACUAGAGCUAUAACUCAUUACCACCGAGACCAAGCCGAUCAGAAAGGCCGCCGUCUCCGGCACAAGCAGAGGUGGCAGUGAAGUGCAUCAUGUGUCAUUCCAAGCAGCUGGCGAAAGUCGCCAUGCCCAUGCUUAUACUAUUGCCGUUGCUGCUGCUGUGCUAUGGAGUUGGAAACAUCCAUUGCUCAACCGUUCAUGAUAACAGCGGAGAUCUGAAGGCACUCCUCGAUUUCAGGCAGGGCAUUCCCAGCGAUCCAUAUGGAGCCAUGAGCAAUUGGACCAUGAACUCCCACUUCUGUCGGUGGAAUGGUAUCACGUGCACCUGGACACGACGACAAUGGCGUGUCCUGUCGCUCGCCCUCCCAGACAAAAAUUUAGCUAGAAAAAUCAGCUGCUCUCUCUGCAACCUCACCUUCCUUGUUUAUCUUGACCUCUCCUCUAAUAACUUCGUGAGUCCCUUACCAGACGCACUUACAAAUUGCUCCAACUUAAACUACUUAGAUUUAUCAUCAAACUUACUGGUGGGUACAAUUCCUCCAAAAUUAGGCCUGCUGUCA
Long non-coding RNA from Panicum virgatum (switchgrass), 629 nucleotides. RefSeq lists it as uncharacterized. The record is from RefSeq and is a predicted model, not a curated record. The transcript has 2 exons. Lineage: Eukaryota; Viridiplantae; Streptophyta; Magnoliopsida; Poales; Poaceae.